Sus scrofa (pig) is the source of this 3434-nucleotide non-coding RNA. Lineage: Eukaryota; Metazoa; Chordata; Mammalia; Artiodactyla; Suidae. The record is from RefSeq and is a predicted model, not a curated record.
UAGAAGGGCACGUCUUCUCCAAAUGUUUGAGAACAUAUUGUGAGCUUUGGAUAGAGCAAAUCUGAGUCCAGCCUCAUGAUAGUCAGAAAACACAAAGAAAAACAAAUGUAUUGGUGGCUGCAUAUUUUAAACGAUGAAAAUUUAGCCCAGAUAAAAAUCAAUCAACUCUGCUUUCUCUUGGUCCUUACGUUUCCUGUUGCAUAAAGGGGAUAGUGGGGUAGGAGGGAAGAUGGGACUACAGCAUAGAGGUAAAAUUCUUCUCAGUAUCGUAGAAUGGACCAGAAAGAAUGUGGUAGCCUCUUCCCCAAAUCUGUCAGGGGCACCACAGUGCGGCUCCAGACUUAGGUUAUUUACAGGCUUGGGUUUCCUAUUAGUGAGCACACCAAACACCAAAAUGAACUCGAAGGGAGGUUAUAAAAUUAUAUUUCCCUGAUAUCGUUUAAAAACAAGAUGAAAGCAUCUAGUAAUGGCUGACUUUAUUAAGAACUUAUUUGGUAAACAACAUUCAUAGUAAGUGAAAAAGAAAAAUCUCUCUCCUCACUUGACGUUUCAGCUCUCACCUCAGAAAGAAAUCACUGUCUACAUUUUCUACUCCAUGCAAAAGAAUUAAGUGGCAGAAAAUUAUUGGUGUAUUUUAAAGAUUCAAGAGCUCAAAGCAAGAAAAUAUUACAGGCACAGCAAAGAGAUGUUAAUAAAGAAACGCAUUAAAAAAAAAGCUUAUUCGAAAACUAGAGAUUGACUAGAUCUUCUAUAAGGAAGUACCUUUUUGUUUUUUUCUUGUCCUUGUUUUCGUUUGCGGUUUAUUUGCUUUUUAAUUUCCAAUCUAUUGUGGACCGAUGUUUUUGUAAAAUGCAAUGUAAAUGAAUUAAUAAAUUUUAAAAGACAGAGUUCAAGUCCAAAUUUAUUAAUAUUAGAUUCAACAGAUAUAAAGUGAUUCCAUUUUUUAUAUGUAGUUGUUAUAACAGCUUAUAAGUAUUUCUUUCCAAUUUCUGUACCGACCUCCGCGCAGAAUCCUAAGAGGCUGGGAUGGCGACCCAGGGUUCCUGGCGCCAUGCAGAUGCCCAGCCCAUGAAGCGAGGAGUCGGGGGUGGGUGGCUGGGAGGGGUCCAGUUUGCUUCAAGCCUGCGCAGCCCUUUCCCGCCUUUUGGCCUCCUGAGGCCCCACUCCACACAGCUUUUCUUUUCUUUUCUUUUCCUUUUCUUUUUAUGUUUAAUUUCAGAAUUUUAUUGACUCAGCUUUCUGACUGGAUCCCUUCCUCCGCUCGCUCAGCCUCUGGACAAGGCUCAGUUGCACUGUGACACUGAAGGGCUAGGGAGUCUCAGGGGAGGCAAGCGUCCUUGAGCAUUGCAGCUAUGGACCGUGUGAACCUGACUCCUUACUCCUGGGAGGAGGGGCCUCCAACACUCCAGGUACCCAGGUGAUUCUCAUUCUGGGACUCCCAUAAGCCCAUGUGGAAUUCCCGAGACUUCUGGGAAGAAUGAUCGGGGCUGCAACGCCUGGGCAUGAUUCAGCCAUGCUGGGAGCCUCCCAUGAUGCUCAGUACAAGCCAGCCCAUCCCAGCCCUUCCGGUCCAUUAGGACCCACACACAGCGAAAGUCACGGAGCACGCCCAGUAGGCUCUUGCUGCAACCUGCUUGCAAAAAAAGUGCGGCUCCUCAAACCCCACUUCGAGUACAGCUGGACCAGGUGAAUGGCUGCAGCAUAUCAGAACUUUGGCUUAGGAAUAGAAGGAGAUUUGAACUGAUCGUCCCUCUAUAAAAAUGCAUGGGAAUACUCGUCUGUGAAGAGAGGGAGAUUUGCAAACUCAUCAGAUGGAGACAGUGUACAAAAGAAGCAGGCAGAUUUAGAUUUCAUUCUGCCUCUGGUCAGUUUUGAAACUCAGAAGGCUUCCCCUUGUGUGCUCUGUGGAUCCCAGCAAGCUACGUUUGACACAUACUGACACACACACAAGUUAGCACCUGAUUCUAGCUGCCAGCCAAUAAAACAUCUUCAUUUCUUAGGAGAAAAUUGUUUCAUUAUAAAAUGGCUUGUGGGAACAAAUUGUCUUCCAGCUUUUUUGCGUUUUUUACACACACAGAACAAAUGAUCAGGCCAUUCAAGCUUCUAAAGUAUUUGAGCAAAAUCACCAGGUGGCAGAAAUCAGCUCCAGAGCAGCCUGGUCACUGGAGAGCACUUUGUAUGAGGAGCUGUAUAUGCAUGGACCCUGAUGCCAGCCAACCAUUUCCCUGAGCUCAGAAGUGCAGGCAUCAACAGGUAAUCAAUCUCCAGGUCAAAUAUGCUAGACUUCUCAUAGCUGCAUGGAUGAGUGUUGUCUUGGGGAGCAGCUGUGUCCCCAUGGAAAUAACAGAUACUAGCCACCAGUCAGGUCUUUCAGUUCCAGAACAGAUGUCAGCACAGUGGUAGAGUCAUCUUUGUGUUUUGCUUCCCUCUUCCAAGUAUGACUGAGGCACUGGUGCCUCUCACUCUGCUGUGGACCAUGAGGCAACAUGAUGCUUCCAGCCACUCUCAUUUGGAGGAGGCAGAAUCCACUUUGGAGCAAUAAUGAUCUAUGUCAGGGGGUGUUCAUCACACAUGUUCCUGGAAGAUCUGGCCUAGAGGCUGGCUACCCCUCAGCUCCUUGACCCUACAUGAGUACCUAAGCAAGAAGUUCCACCCUGUUUUCUCUCCCCAGAGCACCUGCCUGUCAUAGGAAUACGAGAGGUCCUGCGUAGCCAUAGAGGUGGUCUUGAAUCAGCUCAUUGAGUUACUUCAGCUAAGUGGCCUGAGGCGACCUCUGAAGUUUGGAUGUAGAAUCACUACUUGUCUAGGGGCUUCUGAGUUCAGUAAACUAAGAAUAGAGUAGUCCUUUUGGCAGUGAGUCACUUGGACCCCAAUCUAAGUUUGAAAACAAAGGGAGUAAAUUUUCUUUAUGUUCAAAACAUUCCACCACAUUAGUUAACUACUCAGAGUCGUUUUUCCAAUGUGGCAAUCAGGAGUCCAGGACAAGCCAUGUACGGUAAGCGGACCACUUGGCAAACUCUCAUAUGCAGAGUUCAUCCUCAGAACUGACACCCAAGUCAAGACUCAGAGCAUCGCCAACUGGCACCUUAAAAAUUGCUUGUGAUGGUUUCUAGUCAUUACCAUAGCCCAGGCCCCCUAGAGCAACCACUGUCCUGACUUCCAACACUCUGGAUCCAUUUUGCUGGCCUUUGAACUUUAUGCACAUGGGAUCAUAUAUUAUAUAUGUUUGUGACUGGUGUUUCUGCUCAACGUAACGUUUGGUAAUUCACUGAUGUUGCUGUGUGUAGUUGGAGUUCAUUGUCUCAUCGCUACAUGAUUUUCCAUUGUGUAAAGAUACCAUAAUUCAUCCAUGAAACUAUUGGAGGGCAUCAGGGGAGUCUCAGGAUUUUGGCUAUUAUGAAUAAUGUUUUUAUGAACCUUCUUUUUAAAAAGAA